UUAUUACCAUCUCCAUUUCCCUCUCUCUCUCAUCUUUACUGCUAUCCUUGCAGCUCUAUCUGCAUUCUUUCUCUACUCCCGCCGCCAGCACCACCACUACGCCAAGACCACCAAAAAAUUUUACGAUCCGACAGCCUUCGUCUUUUCCCACCAAACACUAUCCCUUCCGACGGCUCUCCCAAGCCCCCCAAACUUCCACAUCGACCUGACGUUCCCAACACCAGCUCAGAGUUCUUGUAUCUGGGUACAUUAGUAAACUCUCAAAGUGGAAUAGAUGAUCAACAGAAGGUUACGAAUUCGAGCAAUGCUGGAGUCAAGAUUGGUGUAUCAUCCUCUCCAUAUCAUAAACUGGGUUCUCCAGAACUCAAACCACUGCCUCCAUUGCCCAGACAUAACUAUACGCCGAGUUAUAGAAGCGGAGA
This 422-nucleotide unclassified non-coding RNA is filed under the name Hevea brasiliensis (rubber tree). Lineage: Eukaryota; Viridiplantae; Streptophyta; Magnoliopsida; Malpighiales; Euphorbiaceae. The record is from RNAcentral.